This 450-nucleotide ribosomal RNA is filed under the name uncultured bacterium. Its description in RNAcentral is "bacterial SSU rRNA". It matches the Rfam family "Bacterial small subunit ribosomal RNA", at positions 29 to 524 of the family's 1533-position model. The record is from RNAcentral.
AACGAACGCUGGCGGCAUGCCUAACACAUGCAAGUCGAACGAGACCUUCGGGUCUAGUGGCGCACGGGUGCGUAACGCGUGGGAAUCUGCCCUUGGGUUCGGAAUAACAGUUAGAAAUGACUGCUAAUACCGGAUAAUGUCUUCGGACCAAAGAUUUAUCGCCCAGGGAUGAGCCCGCGUAGGAUUAGCUAGUUGGUGAGGUAAAGGCUCACCAAGGCGACGAUCCUUAGCUGGUCUGAGAGGAUGAUCAGCCACACUGGGACUGAGACACGGCCCAGACUCCUACGGGAGGCAGCAGUGGGGAAUAUUGGACAAUGGGCGAAAGCCUGAUCCAGCAAUGCCGCGUGAGUGAUGAAGGCCUUAGGGUUGUAAAACUCUUUCGCGCACGACGAUAAUGACGGUAGUGCGAGAAGAAGCUCCGGCUAACUUCGUGCCAGCAGCCGCGGUAAU